UCAAACUUGGUCAUUUAGAGGAAGUAAAAGUCGUAACAAGGUUUCCGUAGGUGAACCUGCGGAAGGAUCAUUCAUAAUAGAGUGUUUUAUGGCACUCUAAAAAAAAUCCAUAUCCACCUUGUGUGCAAUGUUAUUCUUCACAGGUUGAGAAAUUCAAAUUCUGUGAGGUUUUUUCAUAUCAACUCAUUUUUUUUUAAACUAAAUUGUCUGAAAAACGUUAUGAAUUUACUUAAUUCAAAACACAACUUUCAACAACGGAUCUCUUGGCUCUCGCAUCGAUGAAGAACGCAGC
This 292-nucleotide unclassified non-coding RNA is filed under the name uncultured fungus. RNAcentral describes it as "partial contains small subunit ribosomal RNA, internal transcribed spacer 1, and 5.8S ribosomal RNA". The stretch from base 1 to 73 matches the Rfam family "Eukaryotic small subunit ribosomal RNA", at positions 1759 to 1831 of the family's 1831-position model. Lineage: Eukaryota; Fungi. The record is from RNAcentral.